RNAcentral lists this ribosomal RNA (542 nucleotides) under uncultured Glomeromycotina. Its description in RNAcentral is "SSU rRNA". It matches the Rfam family "Eukaryotic small subunit ribosomal RNA", at positions 549 to 1097 of the family's 1831-position model. The record is from RNAcentral. Lineage: Eukaryota; Fungi; Glomeromycota.
UGGAGGGCAAGUCUGGUGCCAGCAGCCGCGGUAAUUCCAGCUCCAAUAGCGUAUAUUAAAGUUGUUGCAGUUAAAAAGCUCGUAGUUGAAUUUCGGGGUUCUACCGUUGGUCGGGCUUUGUCCGUACUGGUGUGUAGAAUUUCUACCUUCUGGGGAACCAUCAUGCUAUUAAUUUAGCGUGGUGGGAAACCAGGACCUUUACCUUGAAAAAAUUAGUGUGUUCAAAGCAGGCUUAUGUCUGAAUACAUUAGCGUGGAAUAAUAGAAUAGGACGGUGGUCCUGUUUUGUUGGUUUCUGAAUCACCGUAAUGAUUAAUAGGGAUAGUUGGGGGCAUUAGUAUUCAAUUGUCAGAGGUGAAAUUCUUGGAUUUAUUGAAGACUAACUUCUGCGAAAGCAUUUGCCAAGGAUGUUUUCAUUAAUCAAGAACGAAAGUUAGGGGAUCGAAGACGAUCAGAUACCGUCGUAGUCUUAACCAUAAACUAUGCCGACUAGGGAUCGGACGAUGUUAAUUUUUCUUGACUCGUUCGGCGCCUUGCGGGAAA